UGGCGGACGGGUGAGUAACGCGUGGGUAACCUGCCAUAUACAGGGGGAUAACACUUAGAAAUAGGUGCUAAUACCGCAUAAGCGCACAGGGGCGCAUGCCCCGGUGUGAAAAACUCCGGUGGUAUAUGAUGGACCCGCGUCUGAUUAGCCAGUUGGCAGGGUAACGGCCUACCAAAGCGACGAUCAGUAGCCGGCCUGAGAGGGCGGACGGCCACAUUGGGACUGAGACACGGCCCAAACUCCUACGGGAGGCAGCAG
This 258-nucleotide ribosomal RNA is filed under the name uncultured bacterium. RNAcentral describes it as "partial 16S ribosomal RNA". It matches the Rfam family "Bacterial small subunit ribosomal RNA", at positions 96 to 354 of the family's 1533-position model. The record is from RNAcentral.